CAGGCGGCAAGGCUGGAGUAUUUUAUUACCCUUGUCUUUUGCGCACUUGUUGUUUCCUGGGCGGGUUCGCCCGCCUCCAGGACCACAUGAUAAACCUUUUUUAUGCAGUUGCAAUCAGCGUCAGUACAACAAAUGUAAAUCAUUUACAACUUUCAACAACGGAUCUCUUGGUUCUGGCAUCGAUGAAGAACGCAGCGAAAUGCGAUACGUAGUGUGAAUUGCAGAAUUCAGUGAAUCAUCGAAUCUUUGAACGCACAUUGCGCCCUUUGGUAUUCCAAAGGGCAUGCCUGUUCGAGCGUCAUUUGUACCCUCAAGCUUUGCUUGGUGUUGGGCGUUUUUUGUCUUUGGUUUUGUCCAAAGACUCGCCUUAAAACGAUUGGCAGCCGGCCUACUGGUUUCGCAGCGCAGCACAUUUUUGCGCUUGCAAUCAGCAAAAGAGGACGGCACUCCAUCAAGACUCUAUAUCACUUUUGACCUCGGAUCAGGGUAGGGGAUACCCGCUGAACUUAAGCAUAUCAAUAAGGCGG
RNAcentral lists this ribosomal RNA (527 nucleotides) under Curvularia geniculata. Its description in RNAcentral is "eukaryotic LSU rRNA". The stretch from base 148 to 301 matches the Rfam family "5.8S ribosomal RNA". Lineage: Eukaryota; Fungi; Ascomycota; Dothideomycetes; Pleosporales; Pleosporaceae. The record is from RNAcentral.